CACUCCUACGGGAGGCAGCAGUGGGGAAUAUUGGACAAUGGGCGCAAGCCUGAUCCAGCCAUGCCGCGUGAGUGAUGAAGGCCCUAGGGUUGUAAAGCUCUUUCACCGGUGAAGAUAAUGACGGUAACCGGAGAAGAAGCCCCGGCUAACUUCGUGCCAGCAGCCGCGGUAAUACGAAGGGGGCUAGCGUUGUUCGGAUUUACUGGGCGUAAAGCGCACGUAGGCGGACUAUUAAGUCAGGGGUGAAAUCCCGGGGCUCAACCCCGGAACUGCCUUUGAUACUGGUAGUGUUGAGUUCGAGAGAGGUGAGUGGAAUUCCGAGUGUAGAGGUGAAAUUCGUAGAUAUUCGGAGGAACACCAGUGGCGAAGGCGGCUCACUGGCUCGAUACUGACGCUGAGGUGCGAAAGCGUGGGGAGCAAACAGGAUUAGAUACCCUAGUAGUCCCAUGA
This 450-nucleotide ribosomal RNA is filed under the name uncultured organism. RNAcentral's name for it is "partial 16S ribosomal RNA". It matches the Rfam family "Bacterial small subunit ribosomal RNA", at positions 334 to 800 of the family's 1533-position model. The record is from RNAcentral.